AGUGAACGCUGGCGGUAGGCCUAACACAUGCAAGUCGAACGGCAGCACAGUAAGAGCUUGCUCUUACGGGUGGCGAGUGGCGGACGGGUGAGGAAUACAUCGGAAUCUACUUUUUCGUGGGGGAUAACGUAGGGAAACUUACGCUAAUACCGCAUACGACCUACGGGUGAAAGCAGGGGAUCUUCGGACCUUGCGCGAUUGAAUGAGCCGAUGUCGGAUUAGCUAGUUGGCGGGGUAAAGGCCCACCAAGGCGACGAUCCGUAGCUGGUCUGAGAGGAUGGGCGGCAACACGGGAACUGAGACACGGUCCAGACUCCUACGGGAGGCACCAGUGGGGAAUAUUGGACAAUGGGCGCAAGCCUGAUCCAGCCAUACCGCGUGGGUGAAGAAGGCCUUCGGGUUGUAAAGCCCUUUUGUUGGGAAAGAAAAGCAGCAGGUUAAUACCCCGCUGUUCUGACGGUACCCAAAGAAUAAGCACCGGCUAACUUCGUG
Molecule: ribosomal RNA, 492 nt
Filed under: uncultured bacterium
Lineage: Bacteria
Description: partial 16S ribosomal RNA
Rfam family: Bacterial small subunit ribosomal RNA
Source: RNAcentral